RNAcentral lists this ribosomal RNA (419 nucleotides) under bacterium. Its description in RNAcentral is "partial 16S ribosomal RNA". It matches the Rfam family "Bacterial small subunit ribosomal RNA", at positions 355 to 776 of the family's 1533-position model. The record is from RNAcentral.
UGGGGGAUAUUGCACAAUGGGCGAAAGCCUGAUGCAGCGACGCCGCGUGGGGGAUGAAGGCCUUCGGGUUGUAAACUUCUUUUGCUCUGAACAAGGCAUGCUAAUGGGUGUGUUGAGUGUAGGGGUUGAUUAGCGCCGGCUAACUACGUGCCAGCAGCCGCGGUAAUACGUAGGGCGCGAGCGUUGUCCGGAAUUAUUGGGCGUAAAGGGCUUGUAGGUGGCUGGUUGCGUCUGUCGUGAAAGCUCAUGGCUUAACUGUGGGUUUGCGGUGGGGACGGGCUGGCUUGAGUGCAGUAGGAGAGGCUGGAAUUCCUGGUGUAGCGGUGGAAUGCGCAGAUAUCAGGAGGAAUACCGGUGGCGAAGGCGGGUCUCUGGGCUGUUACUGACACUGAGGAGCGAAAGCAUGGGGAGCGAACAGG